This is a long non-coding RNA of Mauremys mutica (yellowpond turtle), 582 nucleotides long. RefSeq lists it as uncharacterized. The transcript has 3 exons. The record is from RefSeq and is a predicted model, not a curated record. Lineage: Eukaryota; Metazoa; Chordata; Testudines; Geoemydidae.
GGAACACAGAAGUUAGAGCUCUUUGCAUCUGAGUGACGGAUCCCCAGCCAUGUGGGUUGGUGAUGCUGAGAAGCAGCUGUAGGAGAAUGUAAUGAACACUGGAGUAUAAGACAAAUGUCAGAACUACAGAAAAAGCGUUUGCCAUGUCCUGAGCAGACGGUCCGUAUGAUGGAUCGCACGCAACAAAGGGUCGCCUCUCCUAAUCCUGAAUUGGUCUCAUGAGUCAGAUUGGCAUAUCAAGCUUUGUGCAACACGACGACGCUCCGUACAAACAGCGCUGGACCACCACACAACACCCGCAAGUUGCACUGACUCCGGAAGUGAUUUCAGAACCCUGACUAACCAACAAGUAGCACUUACAGGAUGCAAAUCCCCCCCGACCCCCGGUCGAUAAAAUUGGGACAAUUAUGGAAUCUAAUGGGUGCCACCCUCUUUCCAGGCCCCAGUUAGAGAAACAUUAAGUGCAGAGACACUGAAGUGGCAGUUUUGUCCAGACCCUACACAGAACAUUUAUGGUCACACAAAAAGUAGAAACAAAAAUCAAUCUUUGCUCAGGCUUUCAGAUAACUGGGCAGUAACAGG